AUUGAACGCUUGCGGCAGGCCUAACACAUGCAAGUCGAACGAGUGGCGGACGGGUGAGUAAUGUCUGGGAAACUGCCUGAUGGAGGGGGAUAACUACUGGAAACGGUAGCUAAUACCGCAUACCAUCGGAUGUGCCCAGAUGGGAUUAGCUUGUUGGUGGGGUAACGGCUCACCAAGGCGACGAUCCCUACCUGGUCUGAGAGGAUGACCAGCCACACUGGAAAUGAGACACGGUCCAGACGCCUACGGGAGGCAGCAGUGGGGAAUAUUGCACAAUGGGCGCAAGCCUGAUGCAGCCAGGCCGCGUGUAUGAAGAAGGCCUUCGGGUUGUAAAGUACUUUCAGCGGGGAGGCGUUACCCGCAGAAGAAGCACCGGCUAACUCCGUGCCAGCAGCCGCGGUAAUAC
RNAcentral lists this ribosomal RNA (406 nucleotides) under uncultured bacterium. RNAcentral describes it as "partial 16S ribosomal RNA". It matches the Rfam family "Bacterial small subunit ribosomal RNA", at positions 30 to 526 of the family's 1533-position model. The record is from RNAcentral.